GCUGAGGGGGCUUAGUGGUGGGUGUGACUGCGUACCUUUUGUAUAAUGGGUCAGCGACUUAUAUUCUGUAGCAAGGUUAACCGCAUAGGGGAGCCGGAGGGAAACCGAGUCUUAAUUGGGCGUUAAGUUGCAGGGUAUAGACCCGAAACCCGGUGAUCUAGCCAUGGGCAGGUUGAAGGUUGGGUAACACUAACUGGAGGACCGAACCGACUAAUGUUGAAAAAUUAGCGGAUGACCUGUGGCUGGGGGUGAAAGGCCAAUCAAACCGGGAGAUAGCUGGUUCUCCCCGAAAGCUAUUUAGGUAGCGCCUCGUGAAUUCAUCUCCGGGGGUAGAGCACUGUUUCGGCUAGGGGGCCAUCCCGGCUUACCAACCCGAUGCAAACUGCGAAUACCGGAGAAUGUUAUCACGGGAGACACACGGCGGGUGCUAACGUCCGUCGUGAAGAGGGAAACAACCCAGACCGCCAGCUAAGGUCCCAAAGUCAUGGUUAAGUGGGAAACGAUGUGGGAAGGCCCAGACAGCCAGGAUGUUGGCUUAGAAGCAGCCAUCAUUUAAAGAAAGCGUAAUAGCUCACUGGUCGAGUCGGCCUGCGCGGAAGAUGUAACGGGGCUAAACCAUGCACCNNGAAGGUGGCCUGUGAGGGUUGCUGGAGGUAUCAGAAGUGCGAAUGCUGACAUAAGUAACGAUAAAGCGGGUGAAAAGCCCGCUCGCCGGAAGACCAAGGGUUCCUGUCCAACGUUAAUCGGGGCAGGGUGAGUCGACCCCUAAGGCGAGGCCGAAAGGCGUAGUCGAUGGGAAACGGGUUAAUAUUCCCGUACUUGGUGUUACUGCGAAGGGGGGACGGAGAAGGCUAUGUUGGCCGGGCGACGGUUGUCCCGGUUUAAGCGUGUAGGUGUGUGUUCCAGGUAAAUCCGGUUCACUUUAACACUGAGGCGUGACGACGAGGCACUACGGUGCUGAAGCAACAAAUGCCCUGCUUCCAGGAAAAGCCUCUAAGCAUCAGGUAACAUCAAAUCGUACCCCAAACCGACACAGGUGGUCAGGUAGAGAAUACCAAGGCGCUUGAGAGAACUCGGGUGAAGGAACUAGGCAAAAUGGUGCCGUAACUUCGGGAGAAGGCACGCUGACACGUAGGUGAAGUGAUUUACUCAUGGAGCUGAAGUCAGUCGAAGAUACCAGCUGGCUGCAACUGUUUAUUAAAAACACAGCACUGUGCAAACACGAAAGUGGACGUAUACGGUGUGACGCCUGCCCGGUGCCGGAAGGUUAAUUGAUGGGGUCAGCGCAAGCGAAGCUCCUGAUCGAAGCCCCGGUAAACGGCGGCCGUAACUAUAACGGUCCUAAGGUAGCGAAAUUCCUUGUCGGGUAAGUUCCGACCUGCACGAAUGGCGUAAUGAUGGCCAGGCUGUCUCCACCCGAGACUCAGUGAAAUUGAACUCGCUGUGAAGAUGCAGUGUACCCGCGGCAAGACGGAAAGACCCCGUGAACCUUUACUAUAGCUUGACACUGAACAUUGAGCCUUGAUGUGUAGGAUAGGUGGGAGGCUUUGAAGCGUGGACGCCAGUCUGCGUGGAGCCGACCUUGAAAUACCACCCUUUAAUGUUUGAUGUUCUAACGUGGACCCGUUACCCGGGUUGCGGACAGUGUCUGGUGGGUAGUUUGACUGGGGCGG
This 1673-nucleotide ribosomal RNA is filed under the name Salmonella enterica subsp. enterica serovar Braenderup. RNAcentral's name for it is "bacterial LSU rRNA". It matches the Rfam family "Bacterial large subunit ribosomal RNA", at positions 570 to 2282 of the family's 2925-position model. Lineage: Bacteria; Pseudomonadati; Pseudomonadota; Gammaproteobacteria; Enterobacterales; Enterobacteriaceae. The record is from RNAcentral.